Molecule: ribosomal RNA, 865 nt
Filed under: uncultured bacterium
Lineage: Bacteria
Description: bacterial SSU rRNA
Rfam family: Bacterial small subunit ribosomal RNA
Source: RNAcentral
AGAGUUUGAUUCUGGCUCAGGAUGAACGCUGGCGGUAUGCUUAACACAUGCAAGUCGAACGGUCUUUUCGGAGAUAGUGGCGGACGGGUGAGUAACGUGUGAGAAUCUAGCUUUAGGUUCGGGACAACCAUUGGAAACGGUGGCUAAUACCGGAUGUGCCGAGAGGUAAAAGGCUUGCUGCCUAGAGAUGAGCUCGCGUCUGAUUAGCUAGUUGGUAGUGUAAGGGACUACCAAGGCGACGAUCAGUAGCUGGUCUGAGAGGAUGAUCAGCCACACUGGGACUGAGACACGGCCCAGACUCCUACGGGAGGCAGCAGUGGGGAAUUUUCCGCAAUGGGCGAAAGCCUGACGGAGCAAUACCGCGUGAGGGAGGAAGGCUCUUGGGUUGUAAACCUCUUUUCUCAAGGAAUAAGAAAGUGAAGGUACUUGAGGAAUAAGCAUCGGCUAACUCCGUGCCAGCAGCCGCGGUAAUACGGAGGAUGCAAGCGUUAUCCGGAAUGAUUGGGCGUAAAGCGUCCGCAGGUGGUGAUGAAAGUCUGCUGUCAAAGAAUCAGGCUUAACCUGAUCAAGGCAGUGGAAACUACAUGACUAGAGUGCGUUCGGGGCAGAAGGAAUUCCUGGUGUAGCGGUGAAAUGCGUAGAUAUCAGGAAGAACACCGGUGGCGGAAGCGUUCUGCUAGGCCGUAACUGACACUGAGGGACGAAAGCUAGGGGAGCGAAUGGGAUUAGAUACCCCAGUAGUCCUAGCCGUAAACGAUGGAUACUAGGCGUUGCUUGUAUCGACCCGAGCAGUGCCGUAGCUAACGCGUUAAGUAUCCCGCCUGGGGAGUACGCACGCAAGUGUGAAACUCAAAGGAAUUGACGG